GGGACAACAGCAGGAAAUGGCUGCUAAUACCGCAUAAGCUUGCUGUGCCGCAUGGCACAGCAGGGAAAACCACGGUGGUACAGGAUGGGCCCGCGUCUGAUUAGUUAGUUGGCAGGGUAACGGCCUACCAAGACAACGAUCAGUAGCCGGCUUGAGAGAGUGGACGGCCACAUUGGGACUGAGACACGGCCCAGACUCCUGCGGGAGGCAGCAGUGGGGAAUAUUGCACAAUGGGGGGAACCCUGAUGCAGCAAUGCCGCGUGGGUGAAGAAGCACUCCGGUGCGUAAAGCCCUGUCAGCAGGGAAGAAAAUGACAGUACCUGACCAAGAAGCCCCGGCUAACUACGUGCCAGCAGCCGCGGUAAUACGUAGGGGGCAAGCGUUAUCCGGAUUUACUGGGUGUAAAGGGAGCGCAGGCGGCGUGGCAAGUCAGAUGUGAAAACCCGGGGCCCAACCCCGGGAGUGCAUUUGAAACUGCCAUGCUGGAGUGCCGGAGAGGUAAGCGGAAUUCCUAGUGUAGCGGUGAAAUGCGUAGAUAUUAGGAGGAACACCAGUGGCGGAGGCGGCUUACUGGACGGUAACUGACGCUGAGGCUCGAAAGCGUGGGGAGCAAACAGGAUUAGAUACUCUGGUAGUCCACGCCGUAAACGAUGAAUACUAGGUACAGGGGCACAAAAGUGCUUCUGUGCCGCAG
RNAcentral lists this ribosomal RNA (694 nucleotides) under uncultured bacterium. Its description in RNAcentral is "bacterial SSU rRNA". It matches the Rfam family "Bacterial small subunit ribosomal RNA", at positions 140 to 851 of the family's 1533-position model. The record is from RNAcentral.